RNAcentral lists this ribosomal RNA (353 nucleotides) under uncultured bacterium. RNAcentral describes it as "bacterial SSU rRNA". It matches the Rfam family "Bacterial small subunit ribosomal RNA", at positions 1037 to 1390 of the family's 1533-position model. The record is from RNAcentral.
GGUGCUGCAUGGCUGUCGUCAGCUCNNNUCGUGAGAUGUUGGGUUAAGUCCCNCAACGAGCGCAACCCCUAUCUUUAGUUGCCAUCAGGUUGGGCUGGGCACUCUAGAGAGACUGCCGGUGACAAGCCGGAGGAAGGUGGGGAUGACGUCAAGUCCUCAUGGCCCUUAUGUCCUGGGCUACACACGUGCUACAAUGGCGGUGACAGUGGGAAGCUAGGUGGUGACACCAUGCUGAUCUCUAAAAACCGUCUCAGUUCGGAUUGCACUCUGCAACUCGAGUGCAUGAAGGUGGAAUCGCUAGUAAUCGCGGAUCAGCAUGCCGCGGUGAAUACGUUCCCGGGUCUUGUACACAC